UCUCAUGGCAUAUUGAAAUGUGGUAAAAAGAUUUGAAGUUAAAAGGAUCUUUAAAAUGCUUAAAACUGAUGACCAAAGUUGAUUAUGCAAGUUGUUGAAAAUCUCAACACUUAUUUCCACUAUAUUGCUUGAUGUUUUUAUGUGUUGAGAUUGAAGAAUAAAGUGGAAAUAAUUUGUUCUCUGGUGUGUUUCUUGAAAAUUUUGUGAAAUUGGGUAUGUCCUUAACUCCAAAUGUUCGUCAAGUAAUAUAAAAAGUAUUGAAUCCACUGGGAUUGAGAUUAACUUAAACUAAAACAAUUUGCUUAAUACUUAGGAGAAAAUAAAAUGACAUUUGGGGGGAUUUGCAUAGCAUAUGAUUAACACUUAAAAGUAAAAAGGUUCAAAUUCAACAAUUAAAGAAAGUGAUUGGGUUUAUUUCGAAUCCCUCGUAUUUCACUAUGGAUGUUAGCGUCUAAUACCCUUGUGAUGAUCAAUUCAAUUACCACGACAGUUUAACUAAGCCACUAUACCCAUUCUCAUGGUGUAUAACUCACUAUUUUACACUAUAAUCCCCUAAUAUCUUAGGCCAAUUGAAUAGUUAAAAUAGGCAAACAUUGAACGUUAAACAAUAAGUCACAACCUCCAAUUCCCUAUUUCUAGAACAAUUAUAAGAUUGAACAAUCAAUUGAGGUCCAAUUCAUAUGAUUAAUCUCUUAAUCAAUAUGAAUCUAAAUCAUUACAUGAACAUUUAUCAAUACACAUAAAGCAUUAAACAUAAAUAUUAAUUGAAUAGCCAAUUGAAUUAAUCAAAAGAGUAUUAGAUCAAAGGCCUAACAUAUGAAAUCCAUAGAUUCAUACAAGUUCAUCUUACAAAAACCCAAUCAAAAGAAAACUAGAAACUCAUAGUAAAAUAAAAACAAAAGGGGAAAAAGAAAAUAAAACCAAAGAGGAACAUGAUGGUGUCACUUUAUCUCGUAGGCAUUCCUCUUCUUCUAUCCAUGUAGUGCUCCCUUCCUUUCUUUCUCUAUUCCCCUGUUGCCGCUCCUGUUCCUGUCUCCGUUCCUUUCUUGCGCAGCGAGCCCCCUUCAUUUCAUGUGGUGUUUUGUCUUUUUAAACACAUGUCCACACCUCAUUGGAAGAAUAGAGGAAAAGCCCACAUGUGUCUUUCUUUAAUUGGGCUAGCAUGGUCAAAUGUCUUUCUCUUCUUUUACUAUUUGCACCACAUUUAACCAUAAAUCUAUUAAGUUCAACCAACAAAAUAAAACUACACAAAAUAUUGUUUUAAUCGAGAAAAAUACUUAAUUGACUCAAUAAACCAAAAAUUGCAAUUUAUUUAAAAUGACUCUAAAUUAAACACUAAAUUAAUAAAAUGAUAUUAAGAACUUAUUAAAAAGACUCUAAAAAUAGCGACUGAUGAAGAUCUCAUCACA
RNAcentral lists this long non-coding RNA (1409 nucleotides) under Trifolium pratense (red clover). Its description in RNAcentral is "long non-coding RNA (TPRA_LNC012447)". The record is from RNAcentral. Lineage: Eukaryota; Viridiplantae; Streptophyta; Magnoliopsida; Fabales; Fabaceae.